This 253-nucleotide ribosomal RNA is filed under the name uncultured bacterium. Its description in RNAcentral is "partial 16S ribosomal RNA". It matches the Rfam family "Bacterial small subunit ribosomal RNA", at positions 524 to 776 of the family's 1533-position model. The record is from RNAcentral.
UACAGAGGUCCCAAGCGUUGUUCGGAUUCAUUGGGCGUAAAGGGUGCGUAGGUGGCGUCGUAAGUCAGGUGUGAAAUCUCGGAGCUUAACUCCGAAACUGCAUUUGAUACUGCGGUGCUUGAGGACUGGAGAGGAGACUGGAAUUUACGGUGUAGCAGUGAAAUGCGUAGAGAUCGUAAGGAAGACCAGUGGCGAAGGCGGGUCUCUGGACAGUUCCUGACGCUGAGGCACGAAAGCGUGGGUAGCGAACAGG